AAUCAACGCUGGCGGCGUGCCUCAGACAUGCAAGUCGAACGAUUAAACUUUCCUUCGGGGAAGAUAUAGAGUGGCGCACGGGUGAGUAACACGUAAGUAAUCUACCCUUGGGUGGGAAGUAACAUCGGGAAACCGAUGCUAAUACCGCAUAAUGCAGCGGCUUCUUAUGAAGACAGUUGUUAAAGCAUUUAUGUGCCUGAGGAGGAGCUUGCGGCAGAUUAGCAGUUGGUAAGGUAAUGGCUUACCAAGGCGACGAUCUGUAGCCGACCUGAGAGGGUGGUCGGUCACACUGACACUGAA
This 300-nucleotide ribosomal RNA is filed under the name uncultured bacterium. RNAcentral's name for it is "bacterial SSU rRNA". It matches the Rfam family "Bacterial small subunit ribosomal RNA", at positions 32 to 323 of the family's 1533-position model. The record is from RNAcentral.